Molecule: unclassified non-coding RNA, 450 nt
Filed under: Hevea brasiliensis (rubber tree)
Lineage: Eukaryota; Viridiplantae; Streptophyta; Magnoliopsida; Malpighiales; Euphorbiaceae
Source: RNAcentral
CCUUGCCGAGGCCGGUGCGCUUGAUGGUCUUGAGAUACUGCUUCGGGAUGAUCAUGUCGGUGUCGACGUUGAUGAUCUUCAGGGGCGCGGCGACGCCUUCGAGUGUCGUAAACUUGUCCAUGAUGUUCCCGUGAACCGGAUGUAAUUUGAGCUGUUCUAAAUAUACCAUCACCGCCGUCAAGGCUAUGCGCUGAGGGAGGACACAUCAUGAACGCCAUGCGCUGCGGCCGCCUGCCGGAGCUGGUUUUUCUGGCGGGAAUGAUGGUUUUGCUGAUGCCUCUGGGCGACGCUCAUGCUGAGAUGUGGUGCAUACGCGAUUUCGGCAGCGACAGGCCCGUCUGCAUAUUCGCCACGGCGCGGGAUUGCACGUCGGCUGCGGUGAUCCGGGGCGGCAUCUGUGAACGCGAGUCGCUCGUGUCCCGAAAACCGGCGCCACGGAUCAGGUGACGG